RNAcentral lists this ribosomal RNA (255 nucleotides) under Klebsiella pneumoniae. RNAcentral's name for it is "partial 23S ribosomal RNA". It matches the Rfam family "Bacterial large subunit ribosomal RNA", at positions 2061 to 2315 of the family's 2925-position model. Lineage: Bacteria; Pseudomonadati; Pseudomonadota; Gammaproteobacteria; Enterobacterales; Enterobacteriaceae. The record is from RNAcentral.
GCAGUGUACCCGCGGCAAGACGGAAAGACCCCGUGAACCUUUACUAUAGCUUGACACUGAACAUUGAGCCUUGAUGUGUAGGAUAGGUGGGAGGCUUUGAAGCGUGGACGCCAGUCUGCGUGGAGCCGACCUUGAAAUACCACCCUUUAAUGUUUGAUGUUCUAACGUUGGCCCCUUACCGGGGUUGCGGACAGUGUCUGGUGGGUAGUUUGACUGGGGCGGUCUCCUCCCAAAGCGUAACGGAGGCGCACGGCG